Molecule: ribosomal RNA, 203 nt
Filed under: uncultured bacterium
Lineage: Bacteria
Description: partial 16S ribosomal RNA
Rfam family: Bacterial small subunit ribosomal RNA
Source: RNAcentral
UACGUAGGGUGCAAGCGUUGUCCGGAAUUAUUGGGCGAAAGAGCUCGUAGGCGGUCUGUCGCGUCGGCUGUGAAAACCCGGAGCUCAACUCCGGGCCUGCAGUCGAUACGGGCAGACUGGAGUUCGGCAGGGGAGACUGGAAUUCCUGGUGUAGCGGUGAAAUGCGCAGAUAUCGGGAGGAACACCGGUGGCGAAGGCGGUUC